This 63-nucleotide transfer RNA is filed under the name Yezoterpnosia nigricosta. Its description in RNAcentral is "tRNA-Phe". The record is from RNAcentral. RNAcentral also lists the same sequence under 2 other names. Lineage: Eukaryota; Metazoa; Arthropoda; Insecta; Hemiptera; Cicadidae.
AUUUAAAUAGCUUAAAUUAAAGCAUAAUAUUGAAGAUAUUAAGAUAACAUAAGUUUUUAAAUA